GCCAAACGAGUUUCUAUAUUAGGACAUAAGUCUUCAAACUUUCCAAUAGUAAAAAAGAUCUCUAAAAAGUGAGAAAAAUACGUUUUUAUACAUUCAGCAACGCGCUACGCGCCCCGGGUGCGCCCUGACAGUUUCCCCAGUGUGGAAAUGUGCCACAGGCGCAGCUGUUGCGCUUCAGAUGCACAACUUCUUCUAUUUGAUGUUUUCUGCCUUUUUCUCCUCUAUCGAGUCAGAAUUGGGUUCUGGUGUCUUCAUGAACGUUGUAGAUAUAUAUCUUAACUUUCAUUUGCACUUGGUUUGACUCCAAUUGGUUAUCUAAAACUCUGGAUAUGGCUGAAAUACUCCACAUAGGUCAUGUUGAUUUC
This 365-nucleotide long non-coding RNA is filed under the name Cicer arietinum (chickpea). RNAcentral's name for it is "long non-coding RNA (CARI_LNC003758)". The record is from RNAcentral. Lineage: Eukaryota; Viridiplantae; Streptophyta; Magnoliopsida; Fabales; Fabaceae.